This 739-nucleotide long non-coding RNA is filed under the name Homo sapiens (human). RNAcentral describes it as "HSALNT0333316". The record is from RNAcentral. Lineage: Eukaryota; Metazoa; Chordata; Mammalia; Primates; Hominidae.
GAGUUGGGAGAGGAAGGAUCCUCAUUAUUCCCUCUUCGCUACCUCCUCUCUACAACCCCAUUCCAAAGCGACUGACCUUCAACAGAAUGUAUUUCUAUAAAGAUAAAAACAACGAAACUCCCAAGACGUCUAUAUUUGGAAUAUACAGGGAAAACUAGGAAUUUAAUAGCUGAGUUCACGUCCUGCCAACAAAACUUAGAAGGAAUCAACAAACUUCAAGUUCAGGCGCAUAUGUGGUACCCUGUGGCCUAGCGAGAAGAUCGCAGAUGACAUGGGAGGCCUUCAUCUUCUGCAUCUGUCCGACCUUUUCAGCUCCUCUUCUGGUCACUCUGUCAAGGGGGCCUGGAACUCCUGAGAAGUGAAAGGACCAGCCCUAUCUCAGAUGGUGCGGGUUUCUUCGCCCUGACCUCUGCCAUGUUUGCUUGGAGCCCCAGAGCUCAUCCUUCAAGGCCUUUUUAAAAAUAGCACAGCCUCUGUCAAGCCUUCUUGAAAAAUUAAAUUUUUUAUUGUAAAAACUUUCAAACAUAUAAAGAAUGUGAAAGAAUAGGCAAUUAUCUGUAUACUCAUCACCCACAUUCAAUAAUUAACAUUUUGCCGUCUUAGCCUCAUCUACCUAUUUCUACUGAAUCAUAUGAAACUCACUUGCAGACAUUGUGAUAUAGAACACCAAAAUCCAUAAACAUGUGUCGCCUAAACAUGCGUCUUUUAUUUAACUACAAUAUCAUGAACAAAACUAAAA